GGUCCAGACUUUGAUCCUGGCUCAGGAUGAACGCUGGCGGCGCAUUUAAGACAUGCAAGUCGAACGAAAAUUUACGCUUAAAGAGUUGAUUAGUUUACUAAGAGAUGAUUUAUUGUAAAUUUUAGUGGCGGACUGGUGAGUAAUACAUAGGUAAUCUGCCUUUUAGAGGGGAAUAACUAGGAGAAAUCCUAGCUAAUACCGCGUAAGACCACACUUAGGCAUCUAAGAGAGGUCAAAGGAGUAAUCCGCUAAAAGAUGAGCCUGUGGCUGAUUAGUUAGUUGGUGGGGUAAGAGCCUACCAAGACGAUGAUCAGUAGCCGAGCUGAGAGGCUGGCCGGCCACAUUGGGACUGAGAUACGACCCAGACUCCUACGGGAGGCAGCAGUUGGGAAUAUUGGACAAUGGAGGAAACUCUGAUCCAGUGACGCCGCGUGAAGGAAGAAGGUCUUCGGAUUGUAAACUUAUUUUAUCAGGGAAGAAGAAAGUGACAGUACCUGAAGAAAAAGGACCGGCAAACUACGUGCCAGCAGCCGCGGUAAUACGUAGGGUCCAAGCGUUAUCCGGAUUUACUGGGUGUAAAGGGCGAGUAGACGGCGCUGUAAGUCAGCUGUGAAAACUUAGGGCUCAACCUUAAGCCUGCAGCUGAAACUGUAGUGCUAGAGUGCAGGAGAGGUAAGCGGAAUUCCUAGUGUAGCGGUGAAAUGCGUAGAUAUUAGGAGGAACACCAGUGGCGAAGGCGGCUUACUGGACUGUAACUGACGUUGAGGCGCGAAAGUGUGGGGAGCAAACAGGAUUAGAUACCCUGGUAGUCCACACCGUAAACGAUGGAUACUAGGUGUAGGCGAGAUAUCGUCUGUGCCGGCGCAAACGCAAUAAGUAUCCCACCUGGGGAGUACGGCCGCAAGGUUGCAACUCAAAGGAAUUGACGG
Molecule: ribosomal RNA, 929 nt
Filed under: uncultured bacterium
Lineage: Bacteria
Also listed under: 1 other name
Description: bacterial SSU rRNA
Rfam family: Bacterial small subunit ribosomal RNA
Source: RNAcentral